UGUGCCAGCAGCCGCGGUAAUACGUAGGUGGCAAGCGUUGUCCGGAAUUAUUGGGCGUAAAGCGCGCGCAGGCGGCCUUUUAAGUCUGAUGUGAAAGCCCCCGGCUCAACCGGGGAGGGUCAUUGGAAACUGGAAGGCUUGAGUGCAGAAGAGAAGAGCGGAAUUCCACGUGUAGCGGUGAAAUGCGUAGAGAUGUGGAGGAACACCAGUGGCGAAGGCGGCUCUUUGGUCUGUAACUGACGCUGAGGCGCGAAAGCGUGGGGAGCGAACAGGAUUAGAUACCCUGGUAGUCCACGCCGUAAACGAUGAGUGCUAAGUGUUGGGGGGUUUCCGCCCCUCAGUGCUGCAGCUAACGCAUUAAGCACUCCGCCUGGGGAGUACGGCCGCAAGGCUGAAACUCAAAGGAAUUGACGGGGGCCCGCACAAGCGGUGGAGCAUGUGGUUUAAUUCGAAGCAACGCGAAGAACCUUACCAGGUCUUGACAUCCCGCUGNCCGCCCUGGAGACAGGGCUUCCCCUUCGGGGGCAGCGGUGACAGGUGGUGCAUGGUUGUCGUCAGCUCGUGUCGUGAGAUGUUGGGUUAAGUCCCGCAACGAGCGCAACCCUUGAUCUUAGUUGCCAGCAUUCAGUUGGGCACUCUAAGGUGACUGCCGGUGACAAACCGGAGGAAGGUGGGGAUGACGUCAAAUCAUCAUGCCCCUUAUGACCUGGGCUACACACGUGCUACAAUGGAUGGUACAAAGGGCUGCAAGACCGCGAGGUUUAGCCAAUCCCAUAAAACCAUUCUCAGUUCGGAUUGCAGGCUGCAACUCGCCUGCAUGAAGCUGGAAUCGCUAGUAAUCGCGGAUCAGCAUGCCGCG
Molecule: ribosomal RNA, 859 nt
Filed under: Bacillus sp. 57 TDS
Lineage: Bacteria; Bacillati; Bacillota; Bacilli; Caryophanales; Bacillaceae
Description: bacterial SSU rRNA
Rfam family: Bacterial small subunit ribosomal RNA
Source: RNAcentral